AUUGAUACAAAAGCACUUGCUAGUAGAUCUGUGGAGCAUAAAAGAGAGACUCAACCAGUGGAAUUAAGUGUGCAAGUUUCAUGGGCUAGUGAGAAUACUGGGCCUUUGCGCGGGUGGAAAUACAAAUUUCCUGGGCUAGUCUUGGACUCCGUCUCGCCAUUGAAGGUCUAACCUUAAACAAGCAACGACAAGUCCGAGUCCGAUCCACAAGUGAAGAA
RNAcentral lists this long non-coding RNA (218 nucleotides) under Elaeis guineensis (African oil palm). Its description in RNAcentral is "long non-coding RNA (EGUI_LNC013328)". The record is from RNAcentral. Lineage: Eukaryota; Viridiplantae; Streptophyta; Magnoliopsida; Arecales; Arecaceae.